UCAAACUUGGUCAUUUAGAGGAAGUAAAAGUCGUAACAAGGUUUCCGUAGGUGAACCUGCGGAAGGAUCAUUAUUGAAUAACUCUAGGUUGUUGCUGGCUCUUGGGGGCAUGUGCACGCCUACAUCUUUAACCACCUGUGCACCUUGUGUAGAUCUGAGAAACUCUGAUGAAAUACUCAGUUUGAGAAUUGCUGAGCGCAAAGCCAGCUGUUCUUGUGAUCAAAUCUAUGUCUUUCAUAUACUCCGCAGGAAUGUAUUCGCAUGUAGUAAUUGGCCUUCGCGCCAUUAAAAUUUAAUAUAACUUUCAACAACGGAUCUCUUGGCUCUCGCAUCGAUGAAGAACGCAGC
Molecule: unclassified non-coding RNA, 348 nt
Filed under: uncultured fungus
Lineage: Eukaryota; Fungi
Description: partial contains small subunit ribosomal RNA, internal transcribed spacer 1, and 5.8S ribosomal RNA
Rfam family: Eukaryotic small subunit ribosomal RNA (bases 1-73)
Source: RNAcentral